This is an RNA transcript of Molossus molossus (Pallas's mastiff bat), 727 nucleotides long. It is a transcript of the gene named peptidylprolyl isomerase H, with no coding region annotated. The record is from RefSeq and is a predicted model, not a curated record. The transcript has 11 exons. Lineage: Eukaryota; Metazoa; Chordata; Mammalia; Chiroptera; Molossidae.
CUGCUUCCGGGUCGGAGCCAUGGCGGUGGCAAAUUCAAGUCCUGUCAACCCCGUGGUGUUCUUUGAUGUCAGCAUUGGCGGCCAGGAAGUUGGCCGUAUGAAGAUCGAGCUCUUUGCAGACGUUGUGCCCAAGACAGCCGAGAACUUUAGGCAGUUCUGCACUGGAGAAUUCAGAAAAGAUGGAGUUCCUAUAGGAUACAAAGGAAGCACUUUCCACAGGGUCAUAAAGGAUUUCAUGAUUCAGGGUGGAGAUUUUGUCAACGGAGAUGGUACUGGAGUUGCCAGUAUUUACCGGGGGCCAUUUGCAGAUGAAAAUUUUAAACUUAGACACUCAGCUCCAGGCCUGCUUUCCAUGGCAAACAGUGGUCCCAGUACAAACGGCUGCCAGUUCUUCAUCACCUGCUCUAAAUGUGAUUGGCUGGAUGGGAAGCACGUAGUGUUUGGAAAAAUCAUUGAUGGACUUCUAGUGAUGAGAAAGAUUGAGAAUGUUCCCACAGGCCCCAACAAUAAGCCCAAGCUGCCUGUGGUGAUCUCACAGUGUGGGGAGAUGUAGCCCAGAGCAAGACAGAAUUGGACUUCCUCAUCUGUUCAAGUAAAAUGACCUCAUUAAAAUACAACAGCAACAUAAUAUUAGAACCUACUCUUUGUUGUACAGCUCCACAGAGUGCCAGAGGCUGGCAAAAGAUGCAUGCUGCGGUGCCAGUACCUCAGGAAGCCCCAUCACUGU